UAAUACAGAGGUCUCAACCGUUGUUCGGAUUCAUUGGGCGUAAAGGGUGCGUAGGCGGUCGCGUAAGUCGGAUGUGAAAUCUCAGGGCUCAACCCUGAAACUGCAUUCGAUACUGCGUGGCUAGGGUACUGGAGAGGAGACUGGAAUUUACGGUGUAGCAGUGAAAUGCGUAGAUAUCGUAAGGAAGACCAGUGGCGAAGGCGAGUCUCUGGACAGUUACCGACGCUGAGGCACGAAGGCCAGGGGAGCAAACGGGAUUAGAUACCCCGGUAGUCCUGGCAGUAAACGGUGUACGUUUGGUGUAGGCGGAUUCGACCCCGCCUGUGCCGGAGCUAACGCGUUAAACGUACCGCCUGGGAAGUACGGUCGCAAGAUUA
RNAcentral lists this ribosomal RNA (377 nucleotides) under uncultured bacterium. RNAcentral's name for it is "bacterial SSU rRNA". It matches the Rfam family "Bacterial small subunit ribosomal RNA", at positions 521 to 896 of the family's 1533-position model. The record is from RNAcentral.